GACGAACGCUGGCGGCGUGCUUAACACAUGCAAGUCGGACGGAAAGGCCCUUCGGGGUACUCGAGUGGCGAACGGGUGAGUAACACGUGGGUGAUCUGCCCUGCACUUUGGGAUAAGCCUGGGAAACUGGGUCUAAUACCGAAUAGGACCACGCGCUUCAUGGUGUGUGGUGGAAAGCUUUUGCGGUGUGGGAUGGGCCCGCGGCCUAUCAGCUUGUUGGUGGGGUAAUGGCCUACCAAGGCGACGACGGGUAGCCGGCCUGAGAGGGUGACCGGCCACACUGGGACUGAGAUACGGCCCAGACUCCUACGGGAGGCAGCAGUGGGGAAUAUUGCACAAUGGGCGCAAGCCUGAUGCAGCGACGCCGCGUGAGGGAUGACGGCCUUCGGGUUGUAAACCUCUUUCAAUAGGGACGAAGCGUGAGUGACGGUACCUAUAGAAGAAGCACCGGCCAACUACGUGCCAGCAGCCGCGGUAAUACGUAGGGUGCGAGCGUUGUCCGGAAUUACUGGGCGUAAAGAGCUCGUAGGUGGUUUGUCGCGUUGUUCGUGAAAACUCACAGCUUAACUGUGGGCGUGCGGGCGAUACGGGCAGACUAGAGUACUGCAGGGGAGACUGGAAUUCCUGGUGUAGCGGUGGAAUGCGCAGAUAUCAGGAGGAACACCGGUGGCGAAGGCGGGUCUCUGGGCAGUAACUGACGCUGAGGAGCGAAAGCGUGGGGAGCGAACAGGAUUAGAUACCCUGGUAGUCCACGCCGUAAACGGUGGGUACUAGGUGUGGGUUCCUUCCUUGGGAUCCGUGCCGUAGCUAACGCAUUAAGUACCCCGCCUGGGGAGUACGGCCGCAAGGCUAAAACUCAAAGGAAUUGACGGGGGCCCGCACAAGCGGCGGAGCAUGUGGAUUAAUUCGAUGCAACGCGAAGAACCUUACCUGGGUUUGACAUGCACAGGACGCCGGCAGAGAUGUCGGUUCCCUUGUGGCCUGUGUGCAGGUGGUGCAUGGCUGUCGUCAGCUCGUGUCGUGAGAUGUUGGGUUAAGUCCCGCAACGAGCGCAACCCUUGUCCUAUGUUGCCAGCGGGUUAUGCCGGGGGCUCGUAGGAGACUGCCGGGGUCAACUCGGAGGAAGGUGGGGAUGACGUCAAGUCAUCAUGCCCCUUAUGUCCAGGGCUUCACACAUGCUACAAUGGCCGGUACAAAGGGCUGCGAUGCCGUGAGGUGGAGCGAAUCCUUUCAAAGCCGGUCUCAGUUCGGAUCGGGGUCUGCAACUCGACCCCGUGAAGUCGGAGUCGCUAGUAAUCGCAGAUCAGCAACGCUGCGGUGAAUACGUUCCCGGGCCU
Molecule: ribosomal RNA, 1337 nt
Filed under: uncultured bacterium
Lineage: Bacteria
Description: bacterial SSU rRNA
Rfam family: Bacterial small subunit ribosomal RNA
Source: RNAcentral